UGCUGGGGUGAGGCUGCCGCGUGCGUCCCGCACCGAUCUGUGCGGGUACCCGAGGGCUUUUCCCUGUGCUGCAGGCAGAGAUGGGCCCUUUCUACAGCUGAUGGGGACGGGAGAUGGAGGAGCCUUUGCAGCGCUCCUUCACCUGCUCACGACUAAGGGAGUCCCUGCACCUGACUGGAUCUCCCCAUGGAGCCCCGGAUACAGGGUGGUGCUGAGGAACUGCAGGAGGGAUGUUUGCCCCACGAGGUGUCCCCAGCACAAUGGACGGUGCCGGAGGUGUGUGCCUGGCUGGGUGCACGACACGGGCACCUGGCACCGCUGGCAGCCAAGCACAAGGUCACUGGGCGAGCCCUGCUGCGCUUGACAGAGGGGACACUGCGACGCAUGGGGGUGGCACCGUGCAGCCGAUGCUGGGAGCUGCUGCAGGAGCUGCUGGGCCUGCGGCUGCUGCAGGAGCUUGAGGAGCUGCUGAGCAUCGUUGGGAGGGAGCAGCAUCCACGGGGCCUUGGUGAUGUCCCCACAGAUGGACCAAGGUCACCUCCAUCCCCAGAGUGAAGGCUGUGGGCAGGGAGCUGAUGCCACGUGAUGGAAUUAAGCACAUGACGUGGCAGCAGUGCUGGAAGGAGGCCACCGUGUUCCCAAAAUAUCCCAAACACAGCUGGUGAUGUAGGGAUGUGCAAGGAGAAGGUGGCUGCUGGGUGACACCAGUGGGUGCUCCUGCAUCCGGCAGGGCAGGGGGAGCCUGGUGACAAUAAUGCAGUGGGGACUGUCCCCAUCCACCAGAUCCUGCUGCAAGUCUGGGGUGCACUGACCCACAUCAUGGGACCUCCCUUGGCAGAGUAUUGGACAGCACUUGGGGUUGGCAGAAUGAGUAGGGCACGGGGCAGGACUGUGGGCCUCAAUAAACGUGAUGGAGCUGUGAAACUGC
Molecule: long non-coding RNA, 928 nt
Organism: Numida meleagris (helmeted guineafowl)
Lineage: Eukaryota; Metazoa; Chordata; Aves; Galliformes; Numididae
Exons: 3
Source: RefSeq, a predicted model, not a curated record